RNAcentral lists this ribosomal RNA (439 nucleotides) under uncultured bacterium. Its description in RNAcentral is "partial 16S ribosomal RNA". It matches the Rfam family "Bacterial small subunit ribosomal RNA", at positions 339 to 795 of the family's 1533-position model. The record is from RNAcentral.
CUACGGGCCGCUGCAGUGAGGAAUAUUGCACAAUGGGGGGAACCCUGAUGCAGCAACGCCGCGUGGAGGAUGACGCAUUUCGGUGUGUAAACUCCUUUUAUAUGUCAAGAAAAUGACGGUAGCAUAUGAAUAAGCACCGGCUAACUCCGUGCCAGCAGCCGCGGUAAUACUGAGGGUGCAAGCGUUACUCGGAAUCACUGGGCGUAAAGGACGCGUAGGCGGGUUGGAAAGUCAGGUGUGAAAUCCUGCAGCUUAACUGUAGAACUGCACUUGAAACUUCUAAUCUAGAGUAUGGGAGGGGGAGAUGGAAUUAGUGGUGUAGGGGUAAAAUCCGUAGAUAUCACUAGGAAUACCUAAAGCGAAGGCGAUCUCCUGGAACAUUACUGACGCUAAGGCGUGAAAGCGUGGGGAGCAAACAGGAUUAGAUACCCCUGUAGUC